This 1001-nucleotide long non-coding RNA is filed under the name Anser brachyrhynchus (Pink-footed goose). RNAcentral describes it as "lncRNA (ENSABRG00000003194.1)". The record is from RNAcentral. Lineage: Eukaryota; Metazoa; Chordata; Aves; Anseriformes; Anatidae.
GGGGUCCCCCGGCCCCCCCCCCCCCCCCCCGGUGCUCCCCCGGGCCCAGCCCGAAGCCGCUCUGAUGCCCCUCGCAGCCUGCGGGUGCCGUGGCUUAUCCCGCCGGUUGUCGUUGGGGCCCCGUUUGUAACGGGCUCCCGCUUCUCCUCGGCCCGCCGGCCCUGAGGUGGGCGGCGCUUCGGUUCGAAAGCGAAGUCCGAAUCUGCAAGGCUGCCUUCGGCCUCUUAAAGGCGGAACGAGUCGGGGCCGAGCCGGGGCAUUCAACGGUUCUGGGCAUCGCUGAGAAAUCUUCCCGUGCCCUAAAGGGCUUCCCUUCCCCUAAAGGGCUGGGACGCCUCCAAAGGACCCGGGGCAAAGCCCUGCGGGCGACGUUCCCUGCAGCCCGAGGGUGCUUCGCCGCCUCCCGGGGCUCGCCGAGGCCUCGGGGAAAGGGCAAAGCGGGCUACGUGCCGAGCUCGGGGCCUCCGCACGGAAAGCGGCGGCGCUCAGCCGGAGCCUUUCCCCUCCCGCCUCGUGCCCGCGGUGCCGCGCGAAGCGCCCGAGACCCGACAGCAGCUCCCGGUGCCGGCUUUCUUCGGCAGGUGGGUAGGGAAACGCCACGUUUAUCGUGGCUAGGCGCACCGGGCGGGGUGCCGUGACGUCCUCGGAGCGGGUACGGGGACGUUUUGUCACCCGAAGUACCCGGCCCUGCUUCCUUGUGCUGCCCGGGGAAGCCCAAUUAGCCGGCGGGGGCGCGCGUCGGGGAAGCAGCUAACGCCUGGCCGUGCUCCGCAUAACGCGCUUGGCGAAGGAACAAUAAGCGUGCGGAUUUAAACGGAAUACAGACAGCUAAUUAGCUCCGAAGUUAAGCGCUCGGCUCUGUUCCGCACGAAAUAAGCGGCCUCAGGAAAUGCUAAAAAAAAAAAAAGAAAAAAAACAAAAGCAAACCACCACAAAACCCCAGAGUGAUGUUAAGAAACCAUUUUUUCCAGUCCUAAAAUGGUUCUUUGCGCUGCAUGGCC